RNAcentral lists this long non-coding RNA (970 nucleotides) under Citrus x clementina. Its description in RNAcentral is "Citrus clementina (C. clementina) long non-coding RNA (CCLE_LNC003053)". Lineage: Eukaryota; Viridiplantae; Streptophyta; Magnoliopsida; Sapindales; Rutaceae. The record is from RNAcentral.
UUUCGUCGCUAAAAAUAAUUUUAGCGAUGAAUAUAUUUCGUCACUAAAUUUGUUUUAGAGCAUGUUAUAGUGAUGAAAAUAAGAUUUGUCGCUAAAAAUUAGGAUCAUUAAUAUUGAAACCAAAGUAACUUUAAACUCAGGGCAAUAAACAUGAAAUAUAGGAUCAUUAACUUGCAACCCCUGAUAAUGAUGCAAAUUAUGGACCAGUAAAUAUGAAACACCUACCAUUAAUCUUGAAAUCAAGAUCAUUAAACUUGAAACCAGGGAAACUUAAAACUCAGGGUAAUAAACAUGAAACAUAGGAUCAUUAACUUGCAACCCUAACAAUGAUGCAAAUUAUGGACCAAUAAAUAUGAAACACCUACCAUUAAUCUUGAAAUCAUUAUCAUUAAACUUGAAACCAUAGUAACUUGAAACUCAGGACAAUAAACAUUAACUUGCACCCUGACAAUGAUGUAAAUUAUGUAUCAAUAAAUAUGAAACAUCUACCAUUAUCUUUAAAUCAAGGCCAAUAAACUUGAAACCAUUGUAAGGUGAAACUUAUGGCAAUAAACAUGAAACAUUAGAUCAUUAACUUACAACCCUCACACUAGUGCAAAUUAUAAACCAAUAAAUAUGAAACAACUACCAUUAGUCUUGAAAUCAUGACUAUUAAACUUGAACCUAAUUAAAUUGAAACUUAGGGCAAUAUAUAUGAAACAUAGGAUCAUUAACUUGCAAUCAUGAGAUCUAUUCAAGUUAUGGACCAAUAAAUAUGUAAUGUCUACCAUUAUUCUUGAAAUUAGAACCAUUAAAAUUGAAACCAAAAUAACUUGAAAGCAUAUGCAAUGAACAUGAAAUGGAGGAUCAUUAACUUACGACCAUCAAAAUCUUGCAAAUAUUGAACUAAUAAAUAUGGAACUGGUAACAUUAAUCUUAAAAUUGAGUUUAUUAAACUUAAAACUCAUUUUUAUCAUUUUGUGGCCUUUAA